Molecule: small nucleolar RNA, 75 nt
Organism: Microcebus murinus (gray mouse lemur)
Lineage: Eukaryota; Metazoa; Chordata; Mammalia; Primates; Cheirogaleidae
Gene: SNORD81
Rfam family: Small nucleolar RNA SNORD81
About the family: U81 is a member of the C/D class of snoRNA which contain the C (UGAUGA) and D (CUGA) box motifs. U81 acts as a guanine methylation guide and is found in intron 11 of the gas5 gene in mammals. This RNA has also been called Z23 snoRNA.
Source: Ensembl
CAAUACGUGAUGAUCACACUCCAAUUUGAACUCUCUCACUGAUUACUUGAUUACAAUAAAAGAUUUGAUAAUCUG